RNAcentral lists this transfer RNA (91 nucleotides) under Pseudonocardia autotrophica. RNAcentral's name for it is "tRNA-Ala". The record is from RNAcentral. Lineage: Bacteria; Bacillati; Actinomycetota; Actinomycetes; Pseudonocardiales; Pseudonocardiaceae.
GCAACGGGGGGCGUCCGGCAGCGGAUCGGCGCUGGCACCGCUGAUCGAGCUGCGGCCGGUGGCCGACGGAUCGGCCCCGCCACUGGUGUGC